GAUGAACGCUGGCGGCGUGCCUAAUACAUGCAAGUCGAGCGAACAGACGAGGAGCUUGCUCCUCUGACGUUAGCGGCGGGCGGGUGAGUAACACGUGGAUAACCUACCUAUAAGACUGGGAUAACUUCGGGAAACCGGAGCUAAUACCGGAUAAUAUAUUGAACCGCAUGGUUCAAUAGUGAAAGACGGUUUUGCUGUCACUUAUAGAUGGAUCCGCGCCGCAUUAGCUAGUUGGUAAGGUAACGGCUUACCAAGGCAACGAUGCGUAGCCGACCUGAGAGGGUGAUCGGCCACACUGGAACUGAGACACGGUCCAGACUCCUACGGGAGGCAGCAGUAGGGAAUCUUCCGCAAUGGGCGAAAGCCUGACGGAGCAACGCCGCGUGAGCGAUGAAGGUCUUCGGAUCGUAAAACUCUGUUAUUAGGGAAGAACAAAUGUGUAAGUAACUAUGCACGUCUUGACGGUACCUAAUCAGAAAGCCACGGCUAACUACGUG
This 497-nucleotide ribosomal RNA is filed under the name uncultured bacterium. Its description in RNAcentral is "partial 16S ribosomal RNA". It matches the Rfam family "Bacterial small subunit ribosomal RNA", at positions 28 to 507 of the family's 1533-position model. The record is from RNAcentral.